Molecule: long non-coding RNA, 130 nt
Organism: Herpailurus yagouaroundi (jaguarundi)
Lineage: Eukaryota; Metazoa; Chordata; Mammalia; Carnivora; Felidae
Exons: 3
Source: RefSeq, a predicted model, not a curated record
GGAGGGUGUGUAGGACUCGGGUGCUGUUCUGGGCUUCAUGACCCUUUUCUCCCCAUGUCAGAGAUUGGACCAGCUGAUCCUGCCACCAGCUGAUCCUGCCCACCGGAGCCCUGUGUAUGGGGGGGGUGGU